This 420-nucleotide long non-coding RNA is filed under the name Lynx pardinus (Iberian lynx). Lineage: Eukaryota; Metazoa; Chordata; Mammalia; Carnivora; Felidae. The record is from RNAcentral.
AUGCCGGUCAUGCCCAUCCCGCGGCGGGUGCGCUCCUUCCACGGCCCGCACACCACCUGCCUGCACGCGGCCUGCGGGCCGGCGCGCACCUCCCGCCUGGCGCGCACUAAGUACAACAACUUCGACGUCUACAUCCGGGCGCGCUGGCUCUACGGCUUCAUCCGCUUCCUGCUCUACUUUAGUUGCAGCCUGUUCACGGCCACGCUGUGGGGCGCGCUGGCCGCCCUCUUCUGCCUGCAGUACCUGGGCGUGCGCGUCCUGCUGCGCUUCCAGCUCAAGCUGUCGGUGCUGCUGCUGCUGCUUGGCCGCCGGCGCGUCGACUUCCGCCUCCUGAACGAGCUGCUCAUCUACGGGAUCCGAGUAACCGUGCUGCUGGUUGGGGGCCUGGGCUGGUGCUUCAUGGUCUUCGUGGACAUGUGA